RNAcentral lists this long non-coding RNA (2598 nucleotides) under Rattus norvegicus (Norway rat). RNAcentral describes it as "long non-coding RNA NONRATT011801". The record is from RNAcentral. Lineage: Eukaryota; Metazoa; Chordata; Mammalia; Rodentia; Muridae.
GGUUAGUCAUUGAUAGAACUGCUUUAAAAACAAUUCAGUGGUCAUAUUUUUGAGUGAUUUUUCAGAAAAUGUAGAAUUCAUUUUGUAGUAAAGUAGUUUAUUUUUUUUAAUUUCGAGUGUUGUAAUUUAAAACCUAAGUUGUGUUUUUAAACAGCAACAAAACUGUAUUGUAUUUUUGCUGUAAUUAACUGUAUAAUGUAAACCUAAUUAUUUUAUCAUGGUUUAAAUUUUGCAUAUUUGCUUUAUCUUAUGCUGCUGAUUUUUUUACUGAAUUUGUAAGAUUUUUGUUUAUCAAAGCAACUAUUAUGUGGUGACUUGCAUAUAUCAUGAAUUAUUUAAGAUGUUUAUAAGUUUUUUUAUUAGAAUUUAUUUCAGAUGUUUGUUCAUGAUGCUAUCCUUCAGGGUUAUGUGCUUAUCAAUGAAAUAACCCCAGAGGAGUAAGGGAAAAUAACCUGUAGCCAGUUAUAUUCAGGAAUAACUACUGUAAAUGAUGAACGUGUCAAGAAACCUCCAAUAUUUGCUACUUGCCAAUCCCAUCUUAGUUAAAACAAUUGGUAGGCAACCUUACCUAAAUUUUAGCGGACACCCUGUUAUCUAAAUGACAGAGUAACAGAGCAUGUCUUUAAAGAUGCUGGGGACCUCCUUCUACAUUUGAGUCUCCCUACACCAACCUAACAAAACUUAAAUUAAGAAAUGUGGCAUAUUCUGAACACUUGUGGCAUGCUUGAAGCUUUUGAUCACACAAAGUCAAGAGGAUCCUUCAUGAAUCUACAUUUCAGUGGAGCUCAGCAGACGCUUCCCCUGUCCUAGCGCUGAGCCUGCUUCUGUAUACACUGAGGUAUCUCCUCAGCCUGUAGGUCCUGGCAUUGGUCCAAGAGCCUGAACUUUCCCAUUUGUUCAGUUCCUGGGCGCUGGACCUUUCCCAAAUCCUGCUCACUUAGCAGUCAGUCUGUUGAGCACCAGUUGGUGGUGUUCCUGGCCAUUUGAUUCUACCUGUAGCAUAGUCCUGUUUCUACUAGCUGUCAGGAGGUCCCAAAGCCUACUUAAACUUGUGUAGGUGACAUUUAAAUGAGCAAUAUACCGUUCAUCUGAAAAUAGUAGCACACAGCCAUAUGUAGGAUGUCAUUUUCUAAGGACUGUUUCUUCACAGUGAGCAGAGCAGGCAUAGUGGUGGCUCUUUAGUCUGAGUCUUUGGUUUGUUUUAUGUCUGAUUUCCAGUGUGGACGUUGAGUAGUGUAAGAAUGGUGCUGCUCCUGACAAGUGUGUGUUCACUGUUUACAUUUUAUAUCUGCAGAAUCCUUCUCUGUAACUGAAUCUUUCCUAAGUAAAAUGUCAUCAAGGCCUCAUUAUUUCUGAAAUGAUGUCUGCAAUACCCAGGCACCUUUGGUAUUAUCUGGAGUAAGAGGGGCUUCAUGGAAUGAACUGGGAAAUGCAUGCUGUAUGAGCUGCAGGGUUGUAGGAAGAAGCCCCUUGGAGCUUCCAGCCAGCAGCAAGAGCAGGCACAGCCUAGACUAACGAAAGGUUGCUUAGCAGGUUUUCAUUUGUUUGUUUUGGUUCUAUUUUGUUUGGGGAGGAUUUUUUUUUUUAAUAUUUAGUGUAGAAUUACUUUUAAAUAGAGUAUUUUAAGUCAUUGUUUAUGUGCAAUACUUAAGACUAAGAUACAUUAAUUACCUUUUUAUAUACUUUGAAAUAUAGCAAGUUAGUUUAUUAUGAUUUCUAGCCUCUCACCUUUUAGUGAUUCCUUUUCUAUAUGUACAACAUGGUGCAUUAAUUUUGUUAGACAAGUGUGAAUUUGAGACUGUCGUGCCUCUUGGGUUAUAGAAAUAGAUGGUUGGAGUCAGGAUUUUAGCCGAGAUCGGAGCAUGAGCGUGUUCUUAUUUUAUACUAGUUUUACAACUAACUGGUUUUAUUUUCCCUAUGAUAAAAUGUGUCACUAUUGCACUUAACAGCUGACAUGCUUUAGUUAGUUUUCGGUGUUUUGUACUUGAUCGCUGAGAAGCCGUCUUUCUUGGUUCAGAUUUCGGUUAAGUAAGGAAUACCAGUUGUUCUGAUUGUAUCAUUUAUUGUAAUUGCCAGCUCCCACUUGCCAGCCUUCGUGUUUCAGUUGAAUUAAAAGAAAACAAGCUUUCAGUGCUUAAUGUAAGCUGAAAUACUUAACAAAAUUAUACCCUAAAAGCAAGGUCUGUUUGUUAAACACGUGGUCCAGCUUUUUAAGAUCCACUGUACACGCGCGCGCGCACACACACACACACACACACACACACACACACACACACACACACCUUUGUUUAUAUCUGUUAACAUAAACCCUGCUGGUACUUUUUAAGAGUCUUAAAGCAUCUUAAGUAUUUUUUUAAGGAAUUACAAAUAACAUUUCUGUCUCUCAGUACUUGUUAAACCACCCUAUCAUUUGACUUUUCAAUGACAUGUAUUUAAGAUGCCGAUUGUCUUACUGUCUGAAAGUUGUUUAACUUAGAAUUAGCAUUCCACUUCAUGGUUUAGGAAAGAGAGCCUUAUUCUUUCUACAUGUCUUCCUGGUUCCAGUUCUCGUACCCGCUAAUAUGUAGUGGUCAUCCAUAAGAUGGCCAUGUUGUUGGG